CUUUUGGCGAGGGACAACCACUGGAAACGGUGGCUAAUACCUCAUAUUGCUGAGAAGUGAAAGAUGAAUAAUCACCAAAAGACGGGCUUGCGUCUGAUUAGCUAGUUGGUGGGAUAAUAGCUUACCAAGGCGACGAUCAGUAGCUGGUCUGAGAGGAUGAUCAGCCACACUGGGACUGAGACACGGCCCAGACUCCUACGGGAGGCAGCAGUGAGGAAUUUUCCGCAAUGGGCGAAAGCCUGACGGAGCAAUGCCGCGUGAAGGAUGACGGCCUAUGGGUUGUAAACUUCUUUUCUCAGAGAAGAAUAUUGACGGUAUCUGAGGAAUAAGCAUCGGCUAACUCUGUGCCAGCAGCCGCGGUAAGACAGAGGAUGCAAGCGUUAUCCGGAAUGAUUGGGCGUAAAGCGUCUGUAGGUGGUUUAGCAAGUCUGCUGUUAAAGAUCAGGGCUUAACCCUGGGAAGGCAGGGGAAACUACUAGACUAGAGUUCGGUAGGGGCAGAGGGAAUUCCCGGUGGAGCGGUGAAAUGCGUAGAGAUCGGGAGGAACACCAAAGGCGAAAGCACUCUGCUGGGCCGAGACUGACUCGGACGAGACGAGAGCUAGGCAAGCCAAGCUCAUUAGAUACCCCAGUAGUCACG
This 639-nucleotide ribosomal RNA is filed under the name uncultured bacterium. RNAcentral's name for it is "bacterial SSU rRNA". It matches the Rfam family "Bacterial small subunit ribosomal RNA", at positions 130 to 798 of the family's 1533-position model. The record is from RNAcentral.